Non-coding RNA from Macaca mulatta (Rhesus monkey), 760 nucleotides. Lineage: Eukaryota; Metazoa; Chordata; Mammalia; Primates; Cercopithecidae. The record is from RefSeq and is a predicted model, not a curated record.
CCUGGGUGACAGAGCAAGACUCUGCCUCAAAAAACAAAACAAAACAAACAAACAAAGACAACACCAUCUCAAGAAUAAUCUGACCCUAAUAUCAGUGAUGCUAAGACCCAGAGACCCUGGUGGAAGGGAUGUUCCAGCCAGGAGUGGCCUUUCUUGUGAAAUGUGUGUGUUGUUUGCGUCCCGACAGGUUCAAGUGAUGAAGCUGGGCAGGCUGAGGCCACCAGAGGGUUUCCUGGGUCCCUGUUCCUGCCACACACCUUGAAUCCUCAAUGCCAAGGCAGUUCCAAACCCGAGGGACCCCCAGGAGGACACCAGGUCUGGACAUGAAGGUUUGGCAGCAAACUGUCAGGACCUCUGGAGAGAACCCUGGCUCCUGCGCUGACCCAACUGUGUCUGGCUCAAUGCUCGAAGCUCAAACACAGCAAAGGGCAAGUCGGCAAGUUUCAGUCCAGGAUGUACAUUUCGGCAAAAAUGGCAGCCAGUCUCUCCUCCAGAACCUUCCGGAGAGGCACCACUGCAGCUACCACGGCUGCAGCUACCAGGCACCAGGCACCAGCUGACCAGGAGGGAGGAACCACAAGGCUGCUGUGUCCAGGGUCAGCCAGCAGACCCGGGGUGAGGGUGGGGAUGACAGGGACGCCAGCACACUUGCUGUGCACAAAGUGCCUUGUGACAGUGAGUUCGUCUUGGCCUCUGUCCCAAGAUGAGGUUUUGAUGACACGCAUGGAAUUUCUAACAAUGAGAUGGAGUGUGUGGUUUU